Molecule: microRNA precursor, 70 nt
Filed under: Oryza sativa (Asian cultivated rice)
Lineage: Eukaryota; Viridiplantae; Streptophyta; Magnoliopsida; Poales; Poaceae
Description: miR5519 stem-loop (osa-MIR5519)
Source: miRBase by way of RNAcentral
CUGUGGGCGUUGGCAGAAGUACUGGACUUAGCGGGCGCUAGGGCUUCAGCUCAUUCUGCUAUGUCCGCAU